Cucurbita maxima (winter squash) is the source of this 2927-nucleotide long non-coding RNA. RefSeq lists it as uncharacterized. Lineage: Eukaryota; Viridiplantae; Streptophyta; Magnoliopsida; Cucurbitales; Cucurbitaceae. The record is from RefSeq and is a predicted model, not a curated record. The transcript has 2 exons.
GUGUUACAAUUGGGGGACCGAUGUCUGAUUCUAGCAAGAGAGGGAAAAUAUGUUACUCCGGUGAACUACAUUGAGCAAGUAUUGCUAACCUGUAUUGCGAAAUGGUUGAAGUUUAGAUUUCUUGAUUGGAUGUAGUUGAUAGCUAAUUUGUAUUGUAAAAUGAUUGCGUAUGGUUUAUUUUAUCUUUGUUGGUGAACAGAAUUAAGUUUAGAUAUCUUGAUUGGAUGUGGCUGAACCUACUUUGGGCAUCUGCCAUACCAGAUGGUAUGGCUGGAGUCUCGUGUGUUUCCUAGGAAGUGUGUUGGAUGGAAACUAUGAUAGUGAUGGAAUCCAUUUCCUUUGUACACUUGUAGGAGAAGAAAAUUGUGUCUGUCACAACAGUAACAAACUCCAUUAUGAUGCGGGUCGAUUUGAUUUCCCCUGCACAAUUGUGUGCGGGACUUGCAGAUCUAUGACGUAAAAAAGAAAGAAAACAUGAUUGGUUAUGUUGGAUUAGAUAGCAUGUAGGCAAACAAAGAGAGUUAUUUGUUUGAAGUAGACAUGUUAAGUUGAUAAACCAUGGUUUCUGAUGUUGGUCGUUAAGGUUUUCUCUCUCUAACUUAGCUUAUACAAUCUUUUAGCUCUCUCUCCCCCUUGAACAUCCGAGGAAGAAAAUCACAUUUGCGUGCUUAAGUCAUGUAAUGUGUUGGUGAAAUCAUUUAAAUUUUGAGUUUCCCACUCGACGUUUGUCCAUGUCAAUAUUGCACCAAAGAGGAAAAAAUAUCGACCGCAAGGACUUCAAUAGAAUCCAGAGAGGGAAAUAAACAAAUAUACAAUGGAGUUAAUGAGUUGAAGGGACAAAGUUUUCUCUGUUGUCAGUGUUUCCAGGUGGAACGACAGUUUCCCCCUUUCUGUAGUCAUUUUGAUUUACUUCCAAUGCAAUAAGUUCUACUCUGGUUUCUAGAAAUUAGAAACGAAAAAUUAAGGUUAUGGUAACUGUAUGCAACGUAGAAGUAAGAUCAAUGCUGCAGGGAAUUGUCAGACCACAAAUUGGAUGGUUGAAUCCCAAAAGUUUCCUCAGCCCUUUCUACCAAGUUAUAUUGGGGGGGGGGGGGGGGGGGGUGGGGUGUUCAAGUAAGCAGCUGGACCCACAAAUCUGUAUCUGAAUUUCCCCAAAUAGACUGCAAUGUGACCUUUGAAGUAGAAGCACCCUGCAGUUUGGGAAUUGUUUGGUGUUACGAAGAAUUCAAUGCAAACAUAUUCCAUCUUCAAGCUUGCUUGAAUUGAAAGCAGAACGAGCGAAUCUUGGUGGUAGCAUGCUUGUUGUGGAUUUAAAGUAGAAAACUUCAAUACUUGGAUGAAAGUUUCUCUGUGAUUUGACUAGGAAGAGUUGUUAAUUUGUUUUGAACAUAUAUAGAGUGAUCAAGACAAGGUGAGAACGAAAGAAUAUCAAAAUAGGAGUCCGGGAGACCUUUAUUCGAGGACUCUUGUGGGCUUGCCAAAUUGGUUGGAACAUACUCCUUUACUUAUUUGGCCUGACUUCUGGUUGCAAAGAUCCACUUGUUUGAAUGGAAGAUAAUAGAGUAGAAAACAAGUGGUCAAGGAAAACGGAAAACCAAAUGCUGUGACCAAGAAAAUAGACAGACCAAAAAAGAAAACUCCUGAUGAGAAACUUUUGAUCACUUGUUCUGCAUCACUGAUCCAAUGCAAUAGCUAAGACAUUAGACCACCACGAAAGUACAUUUUGGUAUGUACAUAAGAUACGCAACUUUGUAUAGGCACUUCAAGUCCCUUUUAAUUGACUCUUUAAUUAGCAAUAUCAUCAUACAACUUUACUGGUUUGUAUCUAUUACUGCACCACCAAACAGGAAUUUGCGUAUUCUAUAUGAAUUGUCUUUAGUUAGCACUUGUACCUCUCUUAAUAUUAAGAGAAAAUGUCAACCAAAUUAUUUAUACUUGCUACAAAAAUGAUGGUAUAUAGUCAUUUUUAUAGGUUUAAGUCAGUCUAGCAAAUCUGGAAGAUAUUAGUAUUCAAGUAAAGGAUGUUGAAGACUUUGGAAGAUUGAUGCUUCAAGUUUGUUUUCCGGAAGAUAUUAGUAUUCAAGUAAAAGAUGAUGGAAGAGUUUACAAGAGUGAUCCUUCAAGUUGUUUUUGGUCAAGUGACUGACCAAGGAGCUUGAUAUUAUUUUUCCUAUGCCGAAAGCCUUGCUCACAGCCUGUUCGAAAAUCCAAAAGUCCCAAGAAGAUUAGUAUGCUCAUAUGGAUUUUUCUAUACAAGGGUCUAAAUACAGCAGAAUAACUUGAAAAGAAAAAGACUAAAAUAUUGAAAAUACCUCUAAACUUUUCAAUAUUUCACUAAUAUUCCUGAACUUUUUUUUAAAAUACGCUUACCGCUAGUUUUUUAUGAACACUGUUACUAUUUUGUUUAACAAAUGCCUCUGAACUUUCUAAAGUUUCACCGAUACUCUUAAACUAAAAAAAAAAAGGUUAAAAGUACCCUUACUAUCGGUAUAUGGAUGGUAAAGAGAAUUUUAUAUGUUGAGUUUGUGUUCAUCAACUCGAAACAUCUAACUCAUGUGUCAGAUGGCUAUUUGAGAAGUAGAGCUUGAUUGAUACCUUAAGCAAGGAAGAAAGUUCCUUAAACCUAAAUCUACAAGGGGAGAAUGGAAGGAGGAGGAGGUGUUUGGGUGUAGAUGAAUAUUUUUGUCUUUAUGCAUUUUUUGAACUUUUCUGAAAAGUUGGUAUUAAUGCCAUAUUUGAAAAUUCAAAGAUAUACUUGAAAUGCAGUAUUAACGGUUUCCAUCCAUCCAUCCAUCUAGAUUUGAAUGAAAUAAAAUAUUUUUAUUCCAAUUAUUCAAGUGUAAGAAAAUUAUGGUCAUCGUGAGAAAAUUAUGAGAAAACAAUGUAGGUCAGCUUUCAUGUGAACUCCCAUAGGCUUGUUUGGAGCA